RNAcentral lists this ribosomal RNA (437 nucleotides) under uncultured bacterium. RNAcentral describes it as "bacterial SSU rRNA". It matches the Rfam family "Bacterial small subunit ribosomal RNA", at positions 957 to 1393 of the family's 1533-position model. The record is from RNAcentral.
UAACGCGAAGAACCUUACCUGGGCUCGAACGGCUUCUCAACGACGGUGGAAACACCGUUACUCCGCAAGGGGGUGGAGUCGAGGUGCUGCAUGGCUGUCGUCAGCUCGUGUCGUGAGAUGUUGGGUUAAGUCCCGCAACGAGCGCAACCCUUGUCCUGUGUUGCCAUCCCGCAAGGGGGGACUCGCAGGAGACCGCCAGCGAUAAGCUGGAGGAAGGUGGGGAUGACGUCAAGUCCUCAUGGCCUUUAUGUCCAGGGCUACACACGUGCUACAAUGGCCGGUACAAAGCGCAGCUAAGCCGCGAGGUGGAGCCAAUCGCAAAAAACCGGUCUCAGUUCGGAUUGCAGGCUGCAACUCGCCUGCAUGAAGCUGGAAUCGCUAGUAAUGCCGUAUCAGAACGAUGGCGUGAAUACGUUCCCGGGUCUUGUACACACCGA